AGCGGAUGGGUCAGACAGCAAGACGCCGGGCUCAUAACCCGGAGAAGUCGAUGCAACUCCGGCAUCCGCUACCA
Molecule: transfer RNA, 74 nt
Filed under: Halomonas koreensis
Lineage: Bacteria; Pseudomonadati; Pseudomonadota; Gammaproteobacteria; Oceanospirillales; Halomonadaceae
Description: tRNA-Met
Rfam family: tRNA
About the family: Transfer RNA (tRNA) molecules are approximately 80 nucleotides in length. Their secondary structure includes four short double-helical elements and three loops (D, anti-codon, and T loops). Further hydrogen bonds mediate the characteristic L-shaped molecular structure. tRNAs have two regions of fundamental functional importance: the anti-codon, which is responsible for specific mRNA codon recognition, and the 3' end, to which the tRNAs corresponding amino acid is attached (by aminoacyl-tRNA synthetases). tRNAs cope with the degeneracy of the genetic code in two manners: having more than one tRNA (with a specific anti-codon) for a particular amino acid; and 'wobble' base-pairing, i.e. permitting non-standard base-pairing at the 3rd anti-codon position.
Source: RNAcentral